GUGUCAGCAGCCGCGGUAAUACGUAGGGGGCGAGCGUUGUCCGAAGUUACUGGGCGUAAAGCGCGCGUAGGCGGUCAUUUAAGUCUGAGGUGAAAGGUUCAGCGCUCAACGUGAACAGUGCCUUGGAUACUGGGUGACUUGAGUUCGGGAGGGGGCAGUGGAAUUCCAGGUGUAGCGGUGAAAUGCGUAGAUAUCUGGAGGAACACCGAUGGCGAAGGCAGCUGCCUGGCCCAGAACUGACGCUGAGGUGCGAAAGCGUGGGGAGCGAACGGGAUUAGAAACCCCCGUAGUCC
This 293-nucleotide ribosomal RNA is filed under the name uncultured bacterium. RNAcentral describes it as "partial 16S ribosomal RNA". It matches the Rfam family "Bacterial small subunit ribosomal RNA", at positions 505 to 796 of the family's 1533-position model. The record is from RNAcentral.